This 453-nucleotide ribosomal RNA is filed under the name uncultured bacterium. Its description in RNAcentral is "bacterial SSU rRNA". It matches the Rfam family "Bacterial small subunit ribosomal RNA", at positions 8 to 507 of the family's 1533-position model. The record is from RNAcentral.
AGAGUUUGAUCAUGGCUCAGAACGAACGCUGGCGGCAUGCCUAACACAUGCAAGUCGAACGAGACCUUCGGGUCUAGUGGCGCACGGGUGCGUAACGCGUGGGAAUCUGCCCCUUGGUUCGGAAUAACAGUUAGAAAUGACUGCUAAUACCGGAUGAUGACGAAAGUCCAAAGAUUUAUCGCCGAGGGAUGAGCCCGCGUAGGAUUAGCUAGUUGGUGAGGUAAAGGCUCACCAAGGCGACGAUCCUUAGCUGGUCUGAGAGGAUGAUCAGCCACACUGGGACUGAGACACGGCCCAGACUCCUACGGGAGGCAGCAGUGGGGAAUAUUGGACAAUGGGCGAAAGCCUGAUCCAGCAAUGCCGCGUGAGUGAUGAAGGCCUUAGGGUCGUAAAGCUCUUUUACCAGGGAUGAUAAUGACAGUACCUGGAGAAUAAGCUCCGGCUAACUCCGUG